Gadus morhua (Atlantic cod) is the source of this 4835-nucleotide long non-coding RNA. NCBI's taxonomy places the organism in Eukaryota, Metazoa, Chordata, Actinopteri, Gadiformes, Gadidae. The record is from Ensembl.
GCCAUGCAUUACUGCCAAAACAAAGCCACCGUGCCAGUGCUGCAGCGCUUCUUCCAGGGAGAGGACACCCGCCCUGAUUUCAGGCUUAGCCGGGAGGCUAUCUAGGUCCUCCAAACGGAGCGACAGCACGGUUGGGGGCCCACCAUGGAGAACCUGGUCUUUUUGUUUUGGAUAGCCCCUGGCGCAGCCUAUCGGAUUCUGUCCAGAGCUUUUGGCAUACCAAUGUCAUCUGUCCAUCGAAUGGUGCACAGAAUUGCGGAGGAGGUUGUAGCUGUCCGGGGCAGUUUCAUCAAGCUGCCAUCAAAUUAUGAGGAGGUCAAGGCCAUGGGGGAAGGGUACCCUGCUUUCGCUAAAGCAGCUGGGGCCAGGGGCGUUUCUAGGUUUCUGAAACAUCCGGGGCUUAGCCCAAGAGGGAAUAGGACAGUGCGCGUGCGGCAAAUUUUGUUGUAUACUUUAUUGCGCAUGCAUUUUUUUUCAUAAUGCUUUACCUAAAUAAACAAAAUAGGCAGGUAAUUAUAGCUUUGAAUAGCUACCUGACUGCUGCUUAUCCCCAGACAUCUAAAGUUCCAUCAAGUUAUUUCAGAGUCAAAUUAAUACAAGUGAGACAGACCUUACAUUACCUAUAUCAGGUGUGUCAAACUCAUUUUCACAAAGGGCCACUCUAUGAUGAAAUGAUAAUCAUACUAAGGGCCGACAUGGAGUUUGCUGACAUGCUUUCUUUUUAUUUAGCCCCGAAUAAAACAGCCUAGUGACGCCACUAGCUGGGGCCAUCGACGGGUCCCACAUCCAAAUUAAAUGUCCUUGCGGCCCUGAUGGUCAAGACUUCGUGAACAGGAAGCUGUAUCCAUCCAUGGUGCUGCAGGCAGUCUGUAACCAUCAGGGUCGCUUCAUUGACACCUUCGUGGGCUUCCCAGGAAGCGUGCAUGAAGCACGCAUCCUGCGAAAUAGUUCAAUUUACCUGGCUGGCAAUUACCCUCCACCAGGCCAUUUCAUCUUGGGUGAUGGUGGUUAUCCAUGCCUUACACAGCCGAUAGCCCUUAUCACACCAUAUAAGCGGCCACUCAGAGGCAUGGCAGAGCAACGGUUUAACACUCAUCACUCUCGGGACCGCUCAAUUGUUGAGCGUGCCUUUGGGAUGAUGAAAACCCGCUUCAGGUGCAUCUUUUUAGAGGCACUUAAAGUACAUAGUGAGUUUGUUCCAAAGGUGGUGACUGCGUAUGCAGUUGGUGUGGGCGAUGACCUCCCAGUGGAGGAUGGGGCCAUGGAGGGAGAUGACCCUCCUGCUGAAGGAGAAUGUGGCACGGAGUCACAGAGUGGAGCUCCUUGGCGUGCGGCCCUGGCCAAUUAUGCAGGGGAAAAAAGACAAAGAAAGUGUUGAUAAACAUGUAUUUAUUUGUAUAGAUAAUAUCUGAUCUCAUACAUACAUCCAUUACAUCCAUACCAUCCUUCAUUCAUUCACCCCUCUCAACCAAACGCUCAAGGAGAGAAGAAACGGUCAAACCGCUCCCUUGACUCCACCUCUCUCCUCUCAUCCGCCUGCCGCUGAUAUAGAAUAUCCUCCGUCACCAGAAGCAGGAAGGGAUCCUCCCUCCCUCAUCUCCCUGCUCCGGCCCCUGCUGCGCCCACUGCAACUGCCCCCGAUGUGAUGACUCGUAGCAAAAUGCGUUGUCCCAAUUUUUGAUACAUUAUUAUUUCAACUAUAGGUUAUAUUUACAGAAGAAAAUUGUAAUAAAAUGGCGGGCGAAGAGGAAGAACUGUGCGAGCAAAUACGAUUAUAUAAGCAUUUAUAUGAUACUUCUUCACUAUUACAUUCCAACAAGAUUGCUUUGGAGAAUGCAUGGAGGGAGGUUGCAAGUGCAAUGGGAAAAUCUGUUGUGAAAGUGAAAACGGACUGGAAAGCUGUCCGGGACAAAUACGGAAGAGCGCAUAAAAAGUGGGAGGUAGCGUGCAGUAGUGGUGCAGGGCAAAUAACGUUCGGCUAUCCAAAAGUCGUGACCCAACUUAGCUGGUUGAGCGAGUUCAUCAGGCACAUGUUAACAGAGUCUAAUUUUCCGGUAUGUAGGCAUAAUCAACGUGUGUGUGUGUGUGGAGAGAAAGAGAGAGACUAUGUUUUCAAUGUAUUUUGAAAUGGUAGGCUAUUCACUUGGUCAGGAUGUUUGAAAACAGGUGUCUUUCUGUAGGCAGGCGAGGGAGACGAUGAUGAGGAGGAGGAGGAAAGGCCUAAUUUGCAGGUUUAUCAGGCAGAUCAGGCACCUCCAUCAACCCUCAACCCCGCCUCAUCCCUAUCCCAAUUUCAACUUCUAUCUAACCUUCUAACCUAUUCCUCUUCCACAUCUCACCCUCCCACCACUCUGAUGACUUCUACCUCUUCCCUUCUUCCACCCCACCCUCCCAACGCGACACGAGUGGCUUCUGCUACCUCUUCCCCACUAUCUGACCCUACCACCACUCUGAUGGCUUCUACCUCUACCUCUUCCCUUCUUCCACCCCACCCUCCCACCACCCCGACUGCAGUGGCUUCGACAGUUUCUCAGUCAGUUACCCCACCAUCUCAUCCCCCUACCCCGACAUCAUCAGCCUCCUGUGGAGGUAAAAGAAAGAGAAAAAGCGUCUGGCCGAAUAUGGAUCCAUGCGAGACUGCCCUCCUCGAUAGGCUGCAGGAAAUUCGGCAGGAAAGAGAGGAGAUGGAGAAGGCGAGAGAAAGGGUGGAAGAGAGGGAGAGAGAGAAUGAGAGAGAGAGGGAGAGAGAGAGGAUGAGGGAACGUGAUAAGAAUGACAUUCACGUCUCUUACUAAUUACCUGUGCCAAUUAAUGCAAACCCUUCCACAAGGGCAAAGUGCUAUUUGAUGCGCGACAAACAGCUGAGGCAUGAUUAUGAGCCAUUUUAAUGAUCUUCUUGUCACCCGAUAUUCGUUCUAUUACUGGCCUUAUUUGUUUUAGUGUUUGAAUUAAUUACGUAAUGUUUUGUGUUCAUGUUCUGUGUGAAACAUAAGUGUUCAUGUUCUGUGUGAAACAUAAGUUCAGUAGCCUCUUUGAGUGAAUGAAAUUUGAAAGCAUGAGUGAAUGAAAAACGUGUGCGUGUAUGGUGGGUCAAGUUUCUGUAUUUGAUAAAUAUACCCCUUUUCUCUAAUGUUUCCUACCAUAUAAUUUCUGUGGACAUUAUGCGCUAUAGCUUUGGCUAUAGGCCUACACUUAAAUAAUUAAUUCAUCUGUCAAGGCAGUAGCUCGUUGUAUAAAAAUUUUAUAUGGAUAUGAAUUAAUGAGUUUGACGUAAACCAAAUUAGUUAACUUGUGUAAUGUGAUAACUAAUAAAUCAAAAGUCAUGCUUCCAAGUGACCAAUGUAUAUACAUUUAUUGGUCAGUGCGCAUACCCAAUCGUAGCACAUUGUACUGGGGGGGAAACACGGCAGCAUCUGACAAAAAAUAAUCUGCCAGCAGCUCCCUGACAGGAACCGCUCUCUGAGAUGGUCUGGCUCUGCCGACCGAACACCGUGGUCCGUCGACCAUAUUCCGGUCCCCCUCAACAUGCUGCCUCCACUCUCCAGGCUGGACCUCUCCGGUGUCAGCGGUCGUAUCCACAAAGGAGGCGGGCAUGUAUCUGGCUCGUUCGGUGGAUGCCAGGAAGUUGUGUAGAGCCAGGCACGCCUUCACAAUCUUCACCGCCUUUUCAGGUUGGCAGUCAAUUGGACGGCCAAAAAUUCCGAAGCGCGCAGCCAAUAUGCCAAAGGCAUUCUCCACUACGCGUCUCGCCCUGGCCUGUCGGUAGUUGAAGAUGCGCUUCCUAUCCUGCAGGUUAGUACCUAAUGAGAAGACAAAUAAGUGUCAUGCAGGAACACGGAACAGAUGACUUGGCUGGCUCCAACUUUACACGGCUUUUGAAUAGUAAUGGUAAACUGUGCCAUUGCGCGCACUGCGUGCCUGCCUGGGUAGGCUAUGCAUUUUUUUUCGUUAGACAAAUUCAUGUAUAAUUAAUUAAUGUAAUUAAAACAAUAAAUAUGUAAAUCUAUAAACGAGCUAACACACCAGAAGCCAGCCAUACAAGAGCUGUGAGCGAAUCUUUCUCUGGACAUGCAGAUUGCUUUAAAGUAGCCUGGGGUGUUUUAUCCAAGAGACCUGCGUUUAUUUCCAUCAGCUACCAAUUUGUUUUUAAUUACCUGCACAGGUUGCAUCAGAUUAUCCUGUGGAAAGGAACCUGGCCUACGAUUAUAUGUUGUCGGGGUGCGAAUUAUAGGCUCACGGCAACUGAGUAGCCUACAGUGCCAUAAGGUUAGAUAUAUUGCACAGCAGGUAAACAGUGCCAUUGCUUGUGCCCGGGCAUGCAUUUUUUUUAGUUUUUGUUUUUUCGUUAGACCGAUGUAUGAUCAUCCUUGACAAUAUUAUAUAUAAUAUAUAAUAAUCAGUAAACGAGAUACAACUAAGCCAGCCAAGACCCGUGCGCGCUUUCUUUGUCAUUGCUUCUGGGCCUUAUUCAAAGGCUUACUGUGUUUAUUUCCAACAGCUAUCAAAUAUUUGUAUUCUCACCUGGAUAGGGACGCAUCAGGUUCACCUGUAGGGGAAAGGCCUCAUCCCCCAGGAAAAAAAAAAGGACUGGGCGUUGUGGUGCCUGGUAGGACAGCAGGGGCGGGUAGAUUGAGGUCGCCCUCUGCCAGUCUGGAUCCAAAGGCACUGCGACCCAAGACACCUCCAUCGCUCUCACGCCCGUAUGCGCCAACAUCUACAUAAAUAAACCUAUAGUUGGCAUCAGCAGCAGCCAUAAGGGCAAUUGAAAAAAAAAAACUUUGUAAUUAUGGAAGUCACUUCCCGAUCGUACUGGAGCUCUGACUCUGACAUGCUUC